GAUGAACGCUGGCGGCGUGCCUAAUACAUGCAAGUCGAGCGAACGGACGAGAAGCUUGCUUCUCUGAUAUUAGCGGCGGACGGGUGAGUAACACGUGGAUAACCUACCUAUAAGACUGGGAUAACUUCGGGAAACCGGAGCUAAUACCGGAUAAUAUUUUGAACCGCAUGGUUCAAAAGUGAAAGACGGUCUUGCUGUCACUUAUAGAUGGAUCCGCGCUGCAUUAGCUAGUUGGUAAGGUAACGGCUUACCAAGGCAACGAUGCAUAGCCGACCUGAGAGGGUGAUCGGCCACACUGGAACUGAGACACGGUCCAGACUCCUACGGGAGGCAGCAGUAGGGAAUCUUCCGCAAUGGGCGAAAGCCUGACGGAGCAACGCCGCGUGAGUGAUGAAGGUCUUCGGAUCGUAAAACUCUGUUAUUAGGGAAGAACAUAUGUGUAAGUAACUGUGCACAUCUUGACGGUACCUAAUCAGAAAGCCACGGCUAACUACGUG
Molecule: ribosomal RNA, 497 nt
Filed under: uncultured bacterium
Lineage: Bacteria
Description: partial 16S ribosomal RNA
Rfam family: Bacterial small subunit ribosomal RNA
Source: RNAcentral